Molecule: ribosomal RNA, 253 nt
Filed under: uncultured bacterium
Lineage: Bacteria
Description: partial 16S ribosomal RNA
Rfam family: Bacterial small subunit ribosomal RNA
Source: RNAcentral
UACGGAGGUGGCAAGCGUUGCUCGGGAUCACUGGGCGUAAAGGGCGCGUAGGCGGGGAGGUAAGUCGGGUGUGAAAUCCCUCGGCCCAACUGAGGAACUGCGCCCGAGACUGCUUCUCUUGAGUCCCGGAGAGGAAGAUGGAAUUCCCGGUGUAGCGGUGAAAUGUGUAGAGAUCGGGAGGAACACCGGUGGCGAAGGCGGUCUUCUGGACGGUGACUGACGCUGAGGCGCGAAAGCGUGGGGAGCAAACGGG